Molecule: ribosomal RNA, 497 nt
Filed under: uncultured bacterium
Lineage: Bacteria
Description: partial 16S ribosomal RNA
Rfam family: Bacterial small subunit ribosomal RNA
Source: RNAcentral
GAUGAACGCUGGCGGCGUGCCUAAUACAUGCAAGUCGAGCGAACGGACGAGAAGCUUGCUUCUCUGAUGUUAGCGGCGGACGGGUGAGUAACACGUGGAUAACCUACCUAUAAGACUGGGAUAACUUCGGGAAACCGGAGCUAAUACCGGAUAAUAUUUUGAACCGCAUGGUUCAAAAGUGAAAGACGGUCUUGCUGUCACUUAUAGAUGGAUCCGCGCUGCAUUAGCUAGUUGGUAAGGUAACGGCUUACCAAGGCAACGAUGCAUAGCCGACCUGAGAGGGUGAUCGGCCACACUGGAACUGAGACACGGUCCAGACUCCUACGGGAGGCAGCAGUAGGGAAUCUUCCGCAAUGGGCGAAAGCCUGACGGAGCAACGCCGCGUGAGUGAUGAAGGUCUUCGGAUCGUAAAGCUCUGUUAUUAGGGAAGAACAUAUGUGUAAGUAACUGUGCACAUCUUGACGGUACCUAAUCAGAAAGCAACGGCUAACUACGUG